CAUAACCAAGAUGUGAACUCUUUGGGACUAAUCUCAUCUCGCAAAACUUCUGAAGCUGUUGAUAUUCUCAAGCUUAUGUCAACAACGUUCCUCGUUGCGAUUUGUCAAGCUGUGGAUUUGAGACAUUUGGAGGAGAAUCUGAAACAGACUGUGAAGAACACUGUUUCUCAAGUGGCCAAGAAAGUUCUUACUACUGGUGUCAAUGGUGAGCUUCAUCCUUCUCGCUUCUGCGAGAAGGAUUACUCAAAGUCGUGGACCGUGAACAAGUCUACACAUAUGCGGAUGAUCCUUGUAGCGCAACGUACCCGUUGAUUCAGAAGCUAAGACAAGUUAUAGUUGAUCAUGCUUUGAUCAAUGGUGAGAGUGAGAAGAAUGCAGUGACUUCAAUCUUCCAUAAGAUUGGAGCUUUCGAGGAGGAGCUUAAAGCGGUGCUUCCGAAAGAAGUGGAGGCAGCAAGAGCGGCAUACGACAACGGAACAUCAGCUAUCCCGAACAGGAUCAAGGAAUGUAGGUCGUAUCCUUUGUAUAGAUUCGUGAGGGAGGAGCUUGGAACAGAGCUUUUGACCGGAGAGAAAGUGACGUCGCCCGGAGAAGAGUUUGAUAAAGUGUUCACGGCGAUUUGUGAAGGUAAAAUCAUUGAUCCGAUGUUGGAAUGUCUCAACGAGUGGAACGGAGCUCCCAUUCCUAUAUGUUAAGAGUAAAGUCCUAUGUUUUUUUUCUUACCAUAAAGUCUUUUUUUUUUUUUUUUUUUACAUGUCUGAAUAAUUUUACCAAAUGAUUGUCUGUGAAGUGGUUUUAUGUCUGUCUAAUUUAAAUUUGUGUGUAAAACUCAUUGUAAGUUCUCAAAUGAACAAUUUUUCUUUUACUACAAAAUGUGUGAAUCAUACCUUUCUUUUUUCUCA
Arabidopsis lyrata subsp. lyrata is the source of this 902-nucleotide RNA transcript. It is a transcript of the gene named phenylalanine ammonia-lyase 1, with no coding region annotated. NCBI's taxonomy places the organism in Eukaryota, Viridiplantae, Streptophyta, Magnoliopsida, Brassicales, Brassicaceae. The transcript has a single exon. The record is from RefSeq and is a predicted model, not a curated record.